Molecule: ribosomal RNA, 1402 nt
Filed under: uncultured Bordetella sp.
Lineage: Bacteria; Pseudomonadati; Pseudomonadota; Betaproteobacteria; Burkholderiales; Alcaligenaceae
Description: partial 16S-23S ribosomal RNA intergenic spacer
Rfam family: Bacterial small subunit ribosomal RNA
Source: RNAcentral
AGUCGAACGGCAGCACGGACUUCGGUCUGGUGGCGAGUGGCGAACGGGUGAGUAAUGUAUCGGAACAUUACUGUGCUUGAGAUAACUGCGCGAAAGCGGCAGCUAAUACCACAUACGCCCUUCGAGGAAAGCGAAGGACCUUCCGGGCUCGCACUAUUAGAAGCGGCCGAUAUCGGAUUGGCUAGUUGGUGGGAAUAACGGCUCACCAAGGCGUGGCGUCGUAGCUGGUUUGAGAGGACGACCAGCCACUGGGACUGAGGUGCAGCCCAGGCUCCUACGGGAGGCGGUGGGAAUUUUGGACAAUGGGGGAAACCCUGAUCCAGCCAUCCCGCGUGUGCGAUGAAGGCCUUCAGGUUGUAAAGCACUUUUGGCAGGGAAAGAAACGGCACGGGAUAAUACCCCGUGCAACUGACGGCCUGCGGUAAGCACCGGCUAGCUACGUGCCAGCAGCCGCGGUAAUACGUAGGGUGCAAGCGUUAAUCAGAUUACUGGGCGUAAAGCGUGCCCAGGGCGGUUCCGGAAGAAGAUGUGAAAUCCCGACUUAACGUUUGUACAACACCGGCCGAAGAACAUGUCGAAGGAGGUAAAUUCCGCGUGUAGCAGUGAAAUGCGUAGAUAUGCGGAGAACACCGAUGGCGAAGGCAGCCUCUGGGAUAACACUGACGCUCAUGCACAGCGUAAGGAGCAAACAGGGAUUAGAUACCCUGGUAGUCCACGCCUCAAACGAUGUCAACUAGCUGUUGGACUGGGCCUUGGUAGCGCUGCUAGCAACGUGAAGUUGACCGCCUGGAGUACGGUCGCAAGAUUAAAACUCAAAGGAAUUGACGGGGACCCGCACAAGCGGUGGAUGAUGUGGAUUAAUUCGAUGCAACGCGAAAAACCUUACCUACCCUUGACAUGUCUAGGAAUCCCGAAGAGAUUUGGGAGUGCUCGCAAGAGAACCGGAACACAGGUGCUGCAUGGCUGUCAGUAGCUCGUGUCGUGGAAUGUUGGGUUGAUCCGCAACGAAGCUGUACUUGUCUGGCAUUAGUUGCUACGAAGGGCACUCUAAUGAGACUGCCGGUAACAAACCGGAGGAAGGUGGGGAUGACGUCAAGUCCUCAUGGCCCUUGUCGGGUAGGGCUCCACGUCAUACAAUGGUCGGGACAGAGGGUCGCCAACCCGCGAGGGGGGAGCCAAUCCCGAAGAAACCCGAUCGUAGUCCGGAUCGCAGUCUGCAACUCGACUGCGUGAAGUCGGAAUCAUAGUAAUCGCGGAUCAGCAUGUCGCGGUGAAUACGUUCGGGUCUUGUCUACACCACCAAUCACACCAUGGGAGUGGGUUUUACCAGAAGUAGUUAGCCUAACCGUAAGGAGGGCGGUGCAGUAGGAUUCAUGACUGAGGUGAAGUCGUAACAAGGUAG